ACGUAGGGUGCGAGCGUUAAUCGGAAUUACUGGGCGUAAAGUGUGCGCAGGCGGCCGAGCAAGUCGGGUGUGAAAGCCCCGGGCUCAACCUGGGAAUUGCAUUCGAGACUGCAUGGCUAGGAUGCGGAAGAGGGAAGCGGAAUUUCCGGUGUAGCGGUGAAAUGCGUAGAUAUCGGAAGGAACACCAGUGGCGAAAGCGGCUUCCUGGUCCAGCACCGACGUUCAGGCACGAAAGCGUGGGGAGCAAACAGGA
This 253-nucleotide ribosomal RNA is filed under the name uncultured prokaryote. RNAcentral describes it as "partial 16S ribosomal RNA". It matches the Rfam family "Bacterial small subunit ribosomal RNA", at positions 525 to 777 of the family's 1533-position model. The record is from RNAcentral.